Molecule: long non-coding RNA, 22298 nt
Filed under: Vitis vinifera (wine grape)
Lineage: Eukaryota; Viridiplantae; Streptophyta; Magnoliopsida; Vitales; Vitaceae
Description: long non-coding RNA (VVIN_LNC005285)
Source: RNAcentral
CUUUAAGUUGCCUAAUCUACAAUUCUAAGGAGAAAUUGAGUCCACCUACCAUAUUCAUUUUGAACUCUUUUUCCAUUUCCUCAGCAAAAUUAAGGGUAAAGUCACUUGAGUGGGGUCCAAAAACUAUAUUAUCAACAUAAAUAUGAGUUAUUAAUAGUUUGACUUAGACCUAUGAAUGAAAAGAGUUCUAUCAACUCCCCAUCUCUCAAAACCUUUUUUCAAAAGGUAAGUUGUAAGCCUCUCAUACCAAGCCUCUCAUAUUUACAAAAGAAUGAUUCCAAUGAUUUUAGUUAAUUUGAUCAUUAAGAAAAACGAGUUCAGUUUUAUUAUUAAGAAAAAUGAUUUUAGUUUUAUUAUUAUUAUUAAAAAAAUCAUCUCAAUAUUCCUUAAAAAAUGUUUCAGCUUACAUUAAAAAAAGAGUUCAAUUAAAGAAAAAACAAAAAAAAUGAUUUCAAAUUUUAUUUUAUUUACAAGUUUGCUGAUUAAAAUAAUAUAUAAAAAAGAUGAUUGAUAAAAUCAAACUGGUACGUAAUAGAAAUAAACAUAUAAUAAUAAUAAUAAUAAUAAUAAUAAUAAUAAUAUGAUGAUGAUGAUGAAUCAAUGGAGUUAAAUAAAUCAAUGUGGCCAAUCCAAAGCAAGAAAACAAGUAACUAUACGCUAACCCAUAAUCCAAACGAAGGUCAAAUACAACAAAGACCAAUUUACGAGUGAAUGCCAUGUGGUCGGUAGCUUAUCUCCGAUUAGAACAAAAGAUGGAGACAUGGAUAUGCACCAUUUCCGUUUGGCGUCGGUUUGGCUUCAAAGGGUGCUUCCUGUGCACCUGAACUAGCUUAUCUACGAUUAGAACCAAAAGGUGAUGGAGACAUGGCUGCACCAUUUCCGUUGGCAUCGGUUUGACUUCAAAGGGCGUUUCUUGUGUACUUGAAGAUGGAAAAUAUAAAUUUAUUAGAAACUUACUUUUCAUCAACAGUGUUUCGUCUUGAGGUCCACCUUUUCAAUUCUACUUCAUAAUGCUUGGUUGGUGCUAGUGAGAAAAUUUGGACUCAAACUGAACUAGGCACAUCCCCCUAAGUCCAAAGGGUGGUUCAGUUCAUACAAGAAAAUAAUUUUUACAACUCUUAUUUGAAAAUUUAUUUUUACAAUUUGAAAAUUUAUUUAUGUAAUACAAAUAAACAUAAAAUAAUAAUAAUAAUAAUAAUAAUAUGACAAAUCUAUAGUUGAUGGCCUAUUUGAAAUAAGGAUGAAAAUAUCGGUAAUCAUGGAUAUAUCGGUAACUUGAUUUUAUGGAUAUAUUGGAUAUAUCGGAGAAAUAUCGAUGAAUAUUUUGAAAAAAAAUUUUUGUAAGCAAAAAAUUGAUCAAAACUCAUGGAAAUGUAAAAAAAAACCUUGUAUUAAUAUAAUUAAAAGUAUAAUAGACAAUUUAAAGUUGUUUUGGUGAAGAAUUUGAUAUAUAUAGAUAUAUAUAAUAUGAUUUGCGAUAUUAUACAUAAUUAUAUUAUAUCAGUUGUACUUAUACACUCAUUAUGAAGUUUCAUAAAAAACUUAUUUUAGUAAAUAUCAAUAAUUUAUACAUAUUAUUAUAUAGCUUGAGGUUCAAUUCUGACCAUUGGAUCACAUCCAGUUUUAAUUUGAACCAUAGAUACACAAGGAUCAAAAUUGAAAUAUCAAUAAAAUAUUUUAUUUGAGAUUUAAUUUCUAAAAUUUUAUUAAAAAUACGUGAUAAUAACUUUUUUUUUAUUAAUAUUAAUUUAUUUAAAUAAUUAAAAUUAUUAAUAAUUUAUCUUAUUAAAUUAAUUUUUAAUUUAUAAAAUAUAUCGAUAAAAAAUGGAAAUUUUAAUCCAUGGUUGUGAUUUAAUAAAAAUAAAGAUGAAUAAUUAAUAAUUAUUUAUAUAGAGAGUGGAAAAUUGUUCUCAUGAUAUGUUUCUUCUUCUUUUUUAAUCCCUACUAAAUCUAAAAAUAAAAUGGGCCACCCACUUCUCUCACUCGGCAUCAAGAAGCCCUUUUUCUGGAGUUGCCCUCCAAACGAGAGAAUCCCUAAUAAGGCCCUAUUUUCCGCCGCCACUCUCAAUCCUCCCAGGUACUAAUCUAAUCUUGUUAUUUAUUUUUAUUUUUCUGCAACCCCGUUUGAUUCCCAAGAAAAUCCAUCCCCCAUUCGUUUUCCGGGAAAGUUCAUCCUCGUUUGAUUUCCGAGCAAAUCCAUGCAAAACCCCCAAGGAAAACCAGAAAGAUUGCUUUUUUUUUUUUGCUUCCUGUGUUUUCUGGAUCUGUUCUAGUGGUCGCUUUGCUUUUGUGCCAUUGGAUUUAAAUUUCACGAACCCUAAAUCCACGAUUUUUGAGCCAGGUUAAAAAACACAACCUUUGCCUGCAAAUCAUGAUUAGAUUUUGUAUCUUGUGCGCGGGCUGGACUGGUAGGAAAUAUCGGGAAAUUUCCCGAAAAAUCUGAAAUAAAAUCGGCGAUACAAACCGAAAAUUCGCCGAUAAAUUGCAGUAUCCGACGAUUUUUGGAAGAUUUUGCCGAUUUUUCGCCUGCAUCCAUUUUUCGGCGGUUUUUUCGCCGACUUUAACCGAAAUUUGGCGAAAUUUCUCCCAUCGACAUUUCGCCCCCCUCUUUCGUAUCGCCGGCCACCGAAACCCAAAAUUUUGGCGAAAAAAGUGGAAACUUUCAUCCUUGAUUUGGAAAAGGUGCUUGAUGGAGGAAUGCACCAUCGUCUUCCGUUGCCGCAUGCCCAUUUCCGUUUGGCAUUUUGAAACUUUAUGUUUCGACAGCUCAAACGGAACUAAAGGCAGAUCCCCUCAAGUCCGAUGGUGGAAAAGGUGCUUGAUGGAGGGAUGCACUACCGUUUUCCGUUUGUCAUUCGGCCGCAUGCCCAUUUCCGUUUGGCAUUUGGCUUCAAACAAACUGAGCUUAUUUUUCGUCAACUCAAACGGGAACUAAAGGCAGAUCCCCUCAAGUCCGAUGGGGUGGUUCAGUUUGUCUCACUGCUAUAAAUAAUACACCACCUGAAGCUUAGCCAUUCACAAUAUUAUUUCUUCAAGCUCAGUCAUUGUAAUGUUUCUUUAUUUAUUUGUUUGUUUUCUUGUUGUAUAUUUCAUGGAAGCAGCUUUAUUGGGUUUCUUCCUUCUUUGCAGGGAAAUUCAUAAUGGCAAGAACACAGCAGAAGAAAUCGCUAUGGACCCCAGAAGAAGACGAUAAGCUCAAAGAAUUUAGGCACAAAUACCCCAAUCUAUCUUGGCCAGCUAUCGCAAAGCAGGCAGAGCUGAACAGGACUGGUAAGAGUUGUUGGGAGAGUUGGGAGAACAAUCUGAAUCCUGAUAUCAACAAAGGGGAAUUCUCCCCACAGGAAGAUGAACUCAUCAUCCCGCUAAAGAGCGCCGGUGUGAGGUAAUGAGAAUCAUCCUCAUAUUUUUCCAUUAUCAUAUGAUAUGAUAUAAUAGUGUGGUGAUCAGCUUGAGUCUGAGGUGGAGUUCCUGUGUUGUGUUGCUUGCAGCUGGGCAUCUAUGGCAAAAAAUGAUCUUCGUGGGCGAGCUCCUAAUGCUAUCAAGAACCGGUGGAACAACCACUUAAAGAAGAGGCAUGCGAUUAUAAGUGACCUUAGGCGACACCUCCUCUACCUAGAGGAACACCUCAUGGAUGAUAAGGCUAGUGAUUACUCUGUCCGGGGAGGUGACCUUAAGGCUUUGAUGGCUGAGUUUGCUUCUUUGAUUCCCAACGUUGAUCCAAAUGAGACUAGUGAUCACUCUAUCCGGGGAGAUGACCUUGAGGCUUUGAUGGCCAAGUUUGCUUCUUUGAUUCCCAAUGUUGACCCAAAUGAGAGUAGUGAUCACUCUAUCCGGGAAGAUGACCUUGAGGCUUUGAUGGCCAAGUUUGCUUCUUUGAUUCCCAACGUUGAUGCAAAUGAGACUAGUGAUCGCUCUAUCCGGGGAGAUGACCUUGAGGCUUUGAUGGCCAAGUUUGCUUCUUUGAUUCCCAAUGUUGACCCAAAUGAAAGUAGUGAUCACUCUAUCCGGGAAGAUGACCUUGAGGCUUUGAUGGCCAAGUUUGCUUCUUUGAUUCCCAACGUUGAUCCAAAUGAGACUAGUGAUCACUCUAUCCGGGGAGAUGACCUUGAGGCUUUGAUGGCCAAGUUUGCUUCUUUGAUUCCCAACGUUGAUCCAAAUGAGACUAGUGAUCACUCUAUCCGGGGAGAUGACCUUGAGGCUUUGAUGGCCAAGUUUGCUUCUUUGAUUCCCAACGUUGAUCCAAGUGCAAUUAGUUCGAUUCCUGAAUACACCAGCUGAAGAAAUCGCCAAGUUAAAGUGUAAUGAGAGUCCAAAGUACUAUGUCUUUGAGUGUCCUAUAUAUGUAUAUAUAUGUUUGCUGCUAAAUCAAGCAUCAUCUUCACGAUGCAGCAUAUAAUAAAGCUGUGUGUAUUGUAUUAAACUGAUGGUUUUGUACGUUGAUUUCUGAGUAUUGAGCACUGUUCUCAUAUGCUAAUACUAAAUCCCUCUCAUCAUCAUCUACUGCAUCAACUCUAUACUCCAAUCUUCUUACCUUAACUAUUAAUUAACUCCACCAUUUCAAUGGGUUUAUGUGUGAAAAUCAAAAUUUAACUAAUAUUAUUCUUCCAUGCAGCAUGCUUGAAAAUUAUUUAUUUUUGAAUUCCCAUAUUAUAUUAUGCAGCUCAUAACCACUUCCAAGAUUAAGUCCUAAGCCAAGAGUAAUGAUUUGAAUUAAUUGAAAAUUUAUUGAAAUAAGGAAAAAAAAAAAAAAAACAGGAGCAAGAGGAUGAAUGGAGAGUUUUUAUUUUAAAUAUCUAAUUAAAAUGCUUUCGUAUUUAUAAAUUGAUUAUAUCAAUACAUAGUAUAAUAGAGAUUGAAUUUUUCUCAUAUAAAAGGGUUGAAUGAUAUAUUUACUCAUUUUAAAUGAAAACAAGUAGUUAAAAAUUAUAUAAAUUAUGUUUGAGUUUGGUUUUAAAAUAUUUUUCUAGUUUUUAUUUAAAAAAUAUUUUUUAUUUUCUAUAUUGUCUCUUCUUGAAAAUACGUUUAAUUAAAAAAUGAAAAUUAUUUUUAAAAAUGAAAAUUGAAAACCUUGUUUAAUACUAUUUUUUAUAUGAAAAUAAUAAAAAGAAUCAAAUUUCAUUUAUUAAUUAUUCUUUUUUAUUUUUUUAUAUUAGUUAUUUUAAUAAUAUAAUAAAAAAACAUAAUAUGUUCACAAUUAAAUAAAGGAAUCGGUCAAUUAUAUAUUAUAUUUUUCACAAAAAUAUAAUAUUUUCAUAAAAAAAAUUAGAUUUAAGUUUUUCGUUUUUUUUAUUAAUCAAACUAUUGAAGUCAUGUUUAAUUUCCGUCACUGCACAAGGGUAUUCACUAAUUGUACAAAUGAUAUAUUACGCCAUUGUACAAGGGUAUUCACUAACUUAAUAAAAAAAAAUUUAGCCAUAGUUUAUCCACCAUUUUCUCAGCCAAACCAUUAGAAAUAUGAUUAAAAUGUCUACGUAGACAUAUAACUUAAGAGGUAUAUACUGCGUCAUUAUACAAUGGUUUUAUAUUAAUUGUACAAGGGAAAUGUACUAAGUACAAGGAAAAUGUACUAAGUAUACAAGGGAAAUGUACUAAGUGUACAAGGUUACCAUUUGUGAAAGAUUUUAAUCGAUUUUGAAUCACUUAUUUAUUUUCGUUGUCACCUAUAGAUUGUAUAUAAAAUUUGCACUAUUGUACAAGGGUGUUAAACUCACUAUACAAAGCAAAUGUAUUAACUAUAUAAGACAAAUGUACUAACUGUGUAAGAGGUGUAUAAGACUACCUUUAUGCAAGAUUUCAAUAAAUUCUAAACCAUUAUUUUUUUCUUGUCACCUAAGGAUUUGACACUUUCCCCCCACACAUUCCUUUGCCUAAAAAUUGUUUCAAUUUAAAAUUUUAAAUUUCAUCAUCCAAAAUUUGUAAUUGCAUAUUUCGUUUGAAUAGUUUUUACAAUAUUAAAAAAAAAAAAACAUUUACAUCUCAUAUAAAGGAAAAUUAACCACAAUAUUUAGGUACUAGCUUUUUUGUAAAACCAAAUUAAUAUAAAUGGAUUACACAUUAGUGUCAUUGUUUCAAAUGACUUAAGACAAUAUAAACAACAUAUAAUAAUUGUUUAGGAAAAAUUAUCAAUAUUUUUUACCAAACUAUACCAUUUAGAUCUUUCCUACCAAAUUAAAACAUAGGAAAUAAAAUUAAAAUUAAUCAUAUUUAAAGUGUUUAUUACAAGUAAACCGAAUGAAAUAUAUAUUUUUACUAUUUUACCCUUAUAAACAUAAUAUCAGUAAAAAUUAAAAAAAUUAUAUUUAAAUAGAAUUAAAAAUGAUAAAAAAUUAUCUUUGUAACAUUUGUAAUUUUUUUUAAAUGAUUAAUUUAAAUUAUCUAGUUAAUUUAAUUUUUUUUUUUGUAAUUAUAGUUUUGAAGAUUCUAUGAUUUUUAUAUUAUUACUUUUAAUUUAUUUUCUUUGAUCCUUUAUCUUAAAUUUCAUCUAAACUUGUUUUUUUCUCACAUUUUCGUGUUUUCUAUUAUAUCCCUAUUUAAGGUGAUAUUCAUCUAAUUUGUGCUCCAUUAUAUUCCUUUUUUUUUGUAAUGUGUUUUUAUACCUCUUUGCAUAACAAAAGAUUUUGUCAUUUUUCAUCUACAAAACUUUAUUCAAAAGAUAUCAUAUAUGAGGAAAAAAAAGAGAGAAAAUUAUGAUAUAAUUAUAUGCACAUCUCUUAAUAUGAUACAUUUGCUUUACUUGAUGGUAUCGUGUUUUAAUAAUUUAAACCAUGUCAAGUCCACCUCUAUUUCAGAUUUAAAAGGGUAUUUUAAUAUUUUUCAAAUUACUAAAUUAUAAUACAUUAUUCAAUUAAAAAUUAAUUAUCACUAUUAGUUAAAAGAUGGUCGUGUUACAAAAUAAUAUAUUAAGACAAUGUCUAUGUAUUGUCCAUAAAAUAGAGAAAAUAUUCAAAUAAUUGUCUAUAACAUUAAAGAUAUUUAUAAUAUAUAUUAGAUAAAAAAGAAUAAUAAUAUUUUUUAAGGUGUUUAAAAAAUAUUUAUUAUAUAUUUUGUAAGUUUUUUUUUUAAAAUAUUUUAUGAGGUGUUUAAAAAAUAUUUACUUAAAAAAUGUAGUAAUAAUCAAUUUUAACCAUUGAUUUUCAAUAUUCAAUUUAUUAGGCAUGGUUUUUGGGAGAAAAAUAAUUGGUGGAAAUAGUGACACCUCUCUUGCCAAGAAUUAGUUUACAUGAUCCCAUCACUUGCUAUAUGAGAGAAAGGUAAAGUGGAUGAAGAGAGAAAGAGAAAGGGAAAGAGAGAAUGAGAGAAAAGUGGGAAACCCAUUAUUAUUAUUAUUAUUAUUAUUAUUAUUAUUUGACAGCCAAUGGCAUUUUAGGAAAUUUUAAAAGACAAUGUUCUUCAACUCAAUUUUUACUAUUCCAUUAGGUCUUGAGCUCACUUAAUAUAAGGGUUAUGAGGAUCUUGGCCAAUUUUCAAGCCCAAGUGGGUGUAAAACACAAUUCUCCCAUAAUAUUAUUCUACGGGAUAUCGUUUUGAUUGGAAUUUGACCCUACUUUUGUCUUCUUCCUAUCUUGAUUGUCCUCAAUUGGUCAAAUAUGUUCUUGAAGAAGAAAGCAAGAAAGAGAUAAUAGAAUGCACGGGAAAACUCAAUAGAAUUUCAUUAGGGAUCUUUCCAUUUUAUAGGGAGUUACAAAAUAUAUUUAUAGAUGAUCAUCCACAAGUUAUCAUAGUGGUACAAAAUAUAUUUAUAGAUGAUCAUCCACAAGUUAUCAUAGUGGUACAAAAUCUCAUAUUUUAUAACACUCCCCCUUAGAUGAUCAUAAGAAUAUGCUCCAUUAAAACCUUACUAGGAAAACCCUAUGAGAAAAACCCUAGUGAAGGAAAAGAGUACAAUAUUCUUUUGGAUUACUACAUCUGUCUCAUUAAAAACCUUGCUAGUAAAACCCAGUGGGACAAAACUUGGAUGAAAAGAAAAAGUGUACAAUGUAGUGAUAUUCUUAUCAAUUAGCUCCCCCUCAUGUUGACAUGAUUAUUUUUUCUCUAGUAGCACAACAUCGAGAUAUUUGAAUUGAAAUAUUCCAAUAAGUUUCUUGAGUAUUGCAUUUGACAAUGCCUUCGUGAACAAAUCUACUAAAUUGUCACUUGAUCUUAUUGGUCAAAUAAUAAUUUGAUCACUCUUCUGGAGUUAAUAAAAGUAAAAGACUUGACCGAUAUAUGCUUAAUUCUAUCACCCUUAAUGUAUCAUUUUUUAAUCUAUGCAAUGCAUGCAACAUUAUUAACUUGGUAGCAUUACCUCUGAUGGAAGGUAGUCCACAUGUUUCCAUUAUUUACUUGAUUGAUCUCCAUGAUAUUUUCGUACCACCAUAGAUAAAUACAUACCUUAUUUGAGAUCGAGCUUUGUGGGGUCUAAAAGAUAGUCAACAUCUACAUAUUCAAGUAAUUAAGAUUUUAAUCCUUCGAAAUAACAUAGACCCAUGUUAUUGUAGUACAUGAUUGAUUUUAUUCCAAGUUUCUGAGUUGAUGCAAAACUAUAUCUCACAAGUAAAUUAACAAGGAAUGCAAUAUUUGGUCGUGUAUAAUUUGCAAGAUUCAUCAGUGCACCAAUAACACUAUAAUAUGGUACUUCUGGACCAAGUAGUUCUUCAUUAUCUUCUUUAGGACAAAAGAGGUCAUUUUCCAUUUCAAGUGAAUGAACUAUUAUCAGAGAACUUAAUGGAUGUGAUUUAUCCAUAUGAAAGUGUUUCAAGACUUUCUUUGUAUAUGUUGACUAAUAAACUAAUAUUUCAUUUGAAAAGUACUCGAUUUACAGACCGAGGAAAAAUUUUGUUUUCCAGGAUCUUUCAUUUCAAAUAGUCAACUAUUUUUUUUUUUUAAUUUUUUCAAGAAUUCCAACAAAAUUUAGCUUUCCAUAUAUACUAUAAUAAUUGCAAAUAUUCAACAUAAUGAAUAUGCAUAGACAAAUAAGAUAAUACAAACAUACUUCUCAAUUCAAAUAUUCAUUGAAGUGAUUGUACCACAUGUCUUUGGAUUGCUUAAUCCAUACAAGGAUCGUUGUAGCUUAAUUGAGUAUAUACUACAAUGUUUUGAAUUAGUAGUUUUAGGCAUUUGAAAUCCUUUAGGGAUUUUCAUCUAUAUAUAUAUAUAUGUUAUUAUCUAAAGAUCCAUGUAAAUAUGUAGUAACGACAUCCAAGAGACGCAAAUCUAGUCUUUCUAAGACGGCUAAACAAAUUAGAUAUCUAAAUAUGGUUGCGUCCAUCAUAGGAUAAUAUGUUUCCUCGUAGUCAAUACUAGGUUUCUAUGGGAAAUCUUGAGCUAUGAGUCACAUUUUAUAUCUCAUGAUUUCAUUUGUAUAAAACCUACCAAAUUUGGAUUAGAACAUGGAAGCCAAAUUGACUUGAGGACGUAUAUAGAUGGGGAAGGUUAGGCUUCUCUUAGAUUUAUUGUUCCGGUAAACUUCCCUCGUGCAUUAUAUUCACAAACCUUAAAACAAAUGAUUAUGCCUUCUAUCCCUCCACAGAAUAUAUAUAUAUAUAUAUGAUAUUUGGACAAAAUAAUUAAGAAGUGAAAAAUCAAUUGGAUUGUUAUGAACCCAAAAAUAAAACGAACUCUAAACAUUUUUGGGCCUUAAAAGGUUUGUUCUUCCCCUUCAACAUUUUUAGGAAAGUAGAAGCAAUUUAAACAAUUAGGAAGAAAAAAGUAGGAAUUAAAACUGGGGGUUUGAGGAUUAGGAAGACUAGAGAGGUCUCUUGCAGGCAAACCAAGUCCAUGGAGGUGAGGAUUCAAUAUAACGUAACAUAGUUUGGAAGAAAUAGGGUUUGCUUGGGAAGGUUGUUGAAAAUUAUUCCCAAAAAAAUAAUUUUUGAAAAUAGCUUUAAAUAUAAUAUUUAUUUAAGUUUACCAAAGCAAAAACUUAUUUACAAUUUAAAAUAGUUUCAAAUCAUUUUCUAUGUUUUAAAAAUCAAUUUUAUAUAUAAUUAUUACAAAAUAUGAGGUUUUGUACCACUAUGGUAACUUGUGGAUGAUCAUCCAUAAAUAUCUUUUGUAACUCCCUAUAAAAUGGAAGGAUCCGUAAUGAAAUUCUAUUGAGUUUUCUCGUGCAUUCUAUUAUCUCUUUCUUGAUUUAUUCUUCUCUCACUUCAUUUUACAACACGUUAUCAGUACAAUGCUUUGAGUAUAUAAAAAGAGAAGAAUACUAGAGGUAGAAAAGAAAAAGAGAAGAAUUCAUCUACAAAAUUUCUUAUAGGUAUGUGGCCUUAUUCUCUUCGAAUGAAAUAUGAAUAGUAUGCAUUUUAUUAUUAUAAUUUUUAUUUACUUUGUCUCAUAGCUAGAAGCUAUGUGAAUCAUAUUUCAUAUAAUUAUAAAUUUUAAUUAUUUAAUAACUAGAAGUUAUAUAGAAAAAUAGGCAUAUAAUCUUUAUAAUAAAAUGUUAUGGGGUAAAUUACAACAUUACAAAAUUACAAAUACACAGCCAAAAGUUAUGCAUAAGAUCCCUAAUUACUUUUUAAUUAUAUUAUAUAAUUGAAAGUUAUAUAAAACAACACUAUGUGACCAAAAGUUAUAUAAUGAAUAGUUCAUAGCCUGAAGUUAUGUACAAAUCCAAAAUUAAAAAUACAUAACAAAAAGGUAUGUAUAUAACUCAUAAUUAUUUGUUUUUAAUUAUAUAGUAUAAUUGGAAGUUAUACAAAAUAAUAUUAUAUAGUCAUAAGUUGUAAAAUGAAUAGUCCAUAACUUGAAGCUAUACACAAAUCUACACGAUAAAUAGUUUAUAGCUUGAAGUUAUGCACAAAUUUACAUAAAAAAUAGUUCAUAGCUUGAAGUUAUGUACAAAUUUAAAUAUUUUCUUGUUCUGACAAAAUAAUCAUAGCUUGAAGGUAUGAAAUAUAUUAACUUUUAAUUUCUUUAAUUUCUUUUAAUUAUAUUGUGUAACCGAAAGUUAUAUAUAAAUAGUUCAUAAGUUGAAGUUAUGCACAAAUUUACAUAAAAAAUAAAAAAUAAAAUAGUUCAUAGCCUAAAGCUAUGUACAAAUUUGCAUAUUUUCUUGUUUUGACAAAAUAAUCAUAACUCAAAGUUAUGAAAAAUAUUGACUUUUAAUUUUUAUUUCGUAUUCACUUAUUUUUCACAAUAGGAAUUAUGGAAAAUAAUUUUUAUUAACAAUUGUUUCAUAGCCAAAAGCUAUGCAUACAAUUUCCAAUUUUCUUGUAUAACCAGAAGUUAUAUAAAACAAAAUUAUCAAUGAACAACUAUGUAUCUAGAAGAUGCAUAAUUUUUUUUAAUUUUAUUAUAGAACCAGAAGUUAUAUAAUAACAUAAUUAUCAAUUAUUUUAUGUUUUUAUAACAUUACUUAAAUUUUAAUUAUUCAUAGCCUAAAGCUAUGAAGAAAAAGUUAAUAAAUUAAUAAUUGUUAAAACUUGUAUAACCAAAAGCUAUAUAUAUAUAUAUAUAUAUUAUAUAACCAAAAGUUAUAUAAAUUAAUAUUAUUAUUCGUAACCCGAAGUUAUGAAAAUAAGAAAAUUAAUAUUCUUUAUACUAAUCAAAGGUUAUGUCAGAGUUGUUAAUAUGUACUUUCUUAUAACUAGAAACCUAUAGAGAACAAAAUUGUUAUGUAACAAUUUUGUAUAACUUUAUGAAACUUAUAUAACCAAAAGUUAUAAUGAAAUAUAUUAUAACUUGAAGCUAUGAUAACAAGCAUAUAGAUAAUAUUUACAUAUUAUCAAAAGAUUAUUAUUUUGUACAUCAAGUUAUACAAAUAGGUAAGUGUUUGAUGGUUUUUAUAAAUUUCUAUUAUUAUAAGUUAUAUUGUCAUUAGUAGAAAAAUCUACAUAUAGAUGUGGAUUUCAGAUUACAUGAAAGUAUGAUAUUUUUGUAUUAGAGGUGAUAAUUCUAAUUGUUUAAAACACAAUAAUCUUUUGAUUUGGAAAAUUGAGAUUUUUUUGAUACAUGUAAAAUACAUGACUUGGUCAUAUAAUUAAUAAAUUGAUUUUGCAUGUCAAUUUUCUUUAUAAUAUGUUUUUAUGAUUGAAAUUUUUUGAGAUAUAUAAAAUAAUAUAUAUUAUUGUCUGUUACCACAUAUGGUUUUUUUAUUAAUGCAACAAUUUCAUUAUCUAAAAAUAAUUUUGAAAUUACAAUACGUUCAACUAUUGUUCUCUAUAUAUUAUGUUAUAUCUUUAUAUAUAUAUGUCUAGAUGUUUGCUUAUGAUAAGGUCUAAUGCAAAAGUCAGGUUUAGACCCUGUAUUAGAAUCACCUGCACUGAUGAUGCUGGUCAUAUUACAGCACCGAACAUCGUGAGCUAUAAAUCUCAGACGCAGCCACCAGCUAUUACAAAAGCUUCAGUCCGCCUGUUACAUCAUCCACCAGAUCAGCAGGUCCUGCACAUUUUUAGGUGCUAGAAUGAAUCAAAGGAACUCAAAGGAGGUUGAUGGAUAAAUUUAUGACAAUUUGAGUUCUCAAAAGUGAAAUUUCCACUAGACUCAUGGGGUUCUAAUGAAGAAAACCAAAAGGGUUGCCUGAUAGGAAGCUACUGGAUAGAAACUAAGCUUGCCAAGAAUCACCAUCACCGUCCUUGGAUCUGAAGAACUGGAAAUAAUGAGAUAGAUUAGAAUUUAAAUUGGAUAAGAAGCAUAAAUUUCAGAAACAACAAGGUAUUCGGAAUAGAAGUGAGCUUUUCUGAAGUGGGAAGAAUUAUGCCUUCGAAAGCUUUCAAGGAAGCAGAUUGCAAAUCCAUAUUGUCAAGGCUUCCUCAUUCCUCAAGAAUCAACCAAAUUCUCAAAACUUGUCCUUUCAAAGUUACAAUCACGAAAUCAAAUUCCUCAUUCCUAUCUCGAGGAUGGUUACUAUUGUGAGGAAGAUAUUAUUUGCUUUGCUAAGAUUCAUGACAAAUCAACAAUUUGAUUACUAUAAAAGCAAUCAGCAUUCAUGAAUUCAUACUACCACAAAUUUUCACCAUUAAUAAUACUGCCCGUGCACUUGAUUUGUUAUUCAUGUUGAUUUCUCGAUUCUAGAAACUUCCUAGCGUCUAAAAAUUGAUUACAAAUGCUUCCUAGGCAACUAUUGUGACAAUCUUAUGAUGCUUCUUAAUAUCAAUCCCUAAUACAUUCUACUUUCUUCAUCAAUUCCCGAGACCCUGUUUCCGGCUUCUGCAUCCCAUGCAGCACUAUUCUGCUAUGUCUGACCCAAAACAGCAAAUGCUAACCAUUUCAAAUCCCAUAUAAGAAAUACGCUAUUAGCUUUCUCCCACCCAACUCGUAAAAAUAUGCCAACUAUGGUUCUUAAGAACAGAAUUGAAGAAUGGUUCCACAGUAGUCCUAAGCUUACACGGUUGAAGGCCAUAUCUACACUCCGAAACAGCUUUAGAACUUCUGAUUACAUGUAUGUUAAAAAAGCUGAUCAUCUACUGAGCCCAUGAUUAACCUACGACUAAGGAAAAAUGUUUUUACAACUCACUUGGUGCAAUCUGUGUUCUUCCUGCAUCAAUGGUCAUAUGGUUCGGCAACUGGGGUGAUUUUGCCCUCCCCUGUUGAAGUUGAGAAGCACUAUAUUACAAAAUACAAAUAAGACUGUAGAUAUGACAUGCAGAUAAACACUAUUAACAAAGCGAAAGGCAAAAGCAAAGGGACAGAAUAUUGGCACGGAGAAAAAACGACGACUGUCAGAAAUUGACAAUGAGAAAUUUCAAAUGAAAAUUAACUCAGCGAAUCAAGUGGGAAAACCAAAAUUUGCAGACUUUUAACUCAUGUUACACCAUACACAAAAAAAAAAAAAAAAAAAAAAACUAGGAGUAGAGAGGUGAUGCUUCAUAUGAAAGGAUAGAAAACAACAACUCCAUGUGUAGAAAAUUGUCGAUUAGCCCACAUUGUAAAAUGUGAGAAGGUUAAAGAAAUGUGUCGAGUGAUGGAGCACAAAAGUUGUUUUAUAGGGGCUUGAUGAAAAGUUUCACGACUGAAUAUAAAACAAACCCAGAAAAAGUUUUGAUUUUUAUUAUUAGCUUAUGCAACACCAUAAGAAAGUCCAGACAAUACUGACUUUUCUUAGUUUCAGUCUUCAAAACCACUUUAACCUGCCCGCAAUUCUCCCACCUGUACAUCAAUAAAACUAGGUCAAAGGAAAUAGAUGGAGAACAAAAAGGCAAAACAAAGGGGAAAAGGUUAAAAAAUAAAAUAAAACUAAAAGGGGGAAGAGUUCCAACCCAACUAAAUUCUUAGCAAUGCUAGAAUGUACCCGACGAAGGAGUUUUUUUUAGAAACCCAAAGUUGCAUGACUGGCGAAAGUAGCAGACAUUUGGACUAUGAAUUAGGACCAGUUACACCACUAUGGGAGUGGAUUAAGACGAUAAUAACCCAGGCCUUAAUAUCUUAAUUAUGCCAUGUCAAUCCCUCAUUAGAGGGACCGACUAUUGCAGUUUCAUUUGCAAAAUGCAGGCCAUCAGACAAUCUGAAUUUUCUUAUGUAGAAUAUAAACCUGACCCUAUAAUAAAUAUAAUUACCAGAAGGUAAAGGAACAAGGAACAAGGAUUCUAUUACCUUUUUUACAUGGAUAAAAAAAUUCAUUAGAUGAGACUUGAACAUACAAUCUCUCCCAUAUCCCCAUGGAGAUGGUGGCUCAGCCUCAGCUCCACUGUCUCCUCCACCAUCACCGCCAUCACCAGCAACCCCACCAGAUCAACGGCCCACUGCCCCCAUCUCUACCCACCCAUGACUCCUCCCUGCCCUCCGAUCAUCAUCUUACUCCCUGCUGCUGAUGGUAGAAAACUGUUUAAAAUUUUUUUAACGUUAUUUUGUUAUUGUUAUCUGAAAACAAUUUUUAAAAAUAAAGAAAAAUAGAGAAAUUUUUUUAGAAAACAAGUAAAAAUUGCUUUCAAUGGUUUUAAAAACAAAAUGAAAAAUGUAGAAAAUUUUUAAAAACUCAUAUAAGAAUAAAUAAAAUUGAACAUGAUAUUAUUUUUAAUUCUAAUACCAUAAAUCUUAAAAUAUAAUUUUAUUUUAAAUGCGUAGGUUAGUUUCUUCUUUCCAUAUAUAUAUAUAUAUCAAAUAGUGAAUUACUUAAUACAAGAAAUUUAUGAACAAAAAUUGGUUUAAAUUUAUUAUUUCUUUUGUUAUAUAGAAUCAUUAUUUUUUUAUUUUCUUUUUUAUUAAGCAAAUAAACUCCAAAUUAAAUAAGACUUAAUGUAUUGGAUUCAUUAACGAGUCUAACAAAUUUUUUUAUGGUUUAAAAAACCGAACUGGACCUGCCGGUCAUGGUUUUGGUUCAAUCCGGUCAAUUGAGUUGUCUAAGGGUUGAAUCGGCAUUAGACUGGGUGAACCGACGAUUGGACUAGCCAACUAGUCGGUUCCCUCCAAACCGAACGGUUCAACCCAAUUUUAUUUUUUUUCUCUCCCUCAUCAAAAUAACGUUGUUUUCAUGUUUCUGGCAUCGAAAUGACCUCGUUUUAAUUACUAUAAAAGCUUCCCUUUUCUUCCCCCAAUUGCAAAGCCAAACCUACCCGUCGCCCCUCCCCACAGCCUAAGCUGCCAGCUCCCCAGCCAGUCGCUGCCGGUGCUAGUUCUGCUAGACUCUCUUGCUGCUGCCGACAGAACCUUUUGGUGGCUGUGACAGUGAGUUUUUAGUGUUUACAUUUAAGUUUUUAUUAGUUUAAGUUUUAAUAGUUUAAGUUUUUAUUAGUUUAAGUUUUUAUUAGUUUAAGUAUUUUUUUUUAAUUUAAUAUUUAAUAUUUUUACAUUUUAUGUUUUUAAUAUUUAAUGUUUUAAUUUUUGUUGAUGUAUAAUUUCUGUUGAUUAAAAUUUGUUACCCUCAUUUAUUUAUUGCAUAUUGAAAUAUCAAUUUAUUGAAAUUUUUUUUAUUUAUUUGUUAGAUUUUAUAUAUUUUUUCACAUUAUGUUCAUUUUAUUUAUUUUAAUUUUAUAUUGAUUUUUUAAAUAUUUUAUUUGAGUUUAAAUAAAUUAAUGAAAUCAUUGAAAACAUUAGGAAUUAAAAUAAAAUUUUGGAAACAUUAAGAAUUCAAAUAAUUGUAUGAUUUUCAAAUAAUUUGCUGAUUUUCAAAUAAAAUUCUAUUUUUAAAUUUUUUUACUUUUAAUAAUAUAUAAAAUAUUUUUUUUUUAUGUCACCGAUUUGACUAUCAAUCCAACCAGUAAACCAUGAACCAAUAACAUUUCCUGUUUAAUGAUCGAUUCGGUUUUGAAAAUAUUAAUUUUUUUUAAAAAAAAGAUAACUUAAAACUUAAAUAAUAAUCCAAUCAAUAUUAGAAAUUUAUGGACAAAAAUUUGUUUAAAAUGACUAUUAUUUUUCUUUUAUAUAAAAUCAUCAUUUUUUUUAUAUUUUUUUAACCAAACAAAUAAGCUCUAAAUUAAACAAAACAUAAUAUGUUGGAUUUAAUAACAACUUUAGUAAUUUUUAAAAGUAAUUUGAAACUCAAAUAAUAAACUCACUAAUAGUAGAAAUUUAUGAAUAAAAAUUGAUUCAUAAUGAUUUUGUUAUUUUUUUCAUCCACAUAAUUAUAUUUUUAUAAAUUUUCUUAAAAUCAAAUAAUACUUUGUAUUUAAUUUAUUAAUGGAUUUAACAAUUUUUAAAAAUAUUUUGAAACUAAAAAAAUAAAUCUAAUCAUUAAAAAAAAGAAGAAGAUCAAAACUGAUAUAUUAUAAAUCAUGACUUUACAAUUUCUCCAAUACACACAAAUAUCUGUAUAUAUAUAUAUAUAUAUAUAUAUAUAUAUUAAAUUUAGGUAAUUAAAUCAUAAAUUAAAUAGGACAUAAUCAAUAAUUUAAAAAUUUUAAUGAUUUUUAUUUUUAUUUUUAAGAAUAAUUUUGAAUUCAUAAAAACUGAUCUAACUAAUUACAUAUUAAUUAAAAAAAUUCUAGAAUAUUAUUUAAAUAAAAUAAAUUUUUUGAUUCAUUUACAUGUUAAAAAAGUUAAACUUUAUCAAAGAAAAAACAAGAAAAAAUUGUGGUAGUUGGAGGGUUAGAGGUAGUUUUGAGCACAUAUUUCUUGGUUUAUUUUUUCCAAAAUGUAUGUACUUUAAAGGUCAAAAUUCAAACUUAAAAAAAAAAAAAUAGCAUGACUUCAUAGCUAAUUUGUUUUCUUUUUCUCUUUCCUUUUCAUUUUCUCAUGUUUAUACACAAUUGGUCAAUAUUUAAUUUUCUUUUUGGGAAAAUGGAUGAUUUUAUGAGAAUUUGUGUUAGGAGUUUAUCAGAAAAGUAAUUUUUUUUUUAAAAAUAUUUUACAUCUAGAUUGUUUUUCAAAAUAUUUAUCAAAAUAAUCUUUUAAUUUUAUUUUAUUAUUUUCUUUUAUAAUAAAACCGCAAUUGAUCAAUACGGUUUCAAUCUUAGCGCUAAAAUCACAGUCAUUAGCUAUGGUUUUAUCAUGAAAAAAAAAGAAAGAUGUAAAUGCUAAUAUGACAUGAACUUAAUUACUUUGAUGGAAAAUUUAAAAAUAAAUCAAUAUAUAUAUAUUUAAAAAAAAAAAAAAAAAGCUUAGUAGAAUGAGUAGGAUGUUGGAUACAAAUAGAAGAAAAAGAGUGAAAGAAAAGGUGGGAUUGAAACCGAUGUUUGAUGAUUUUAUAUGGUCUACUUUUGGACUUUCCAACUUUUUGAACCUUUUAUGAUUGAAAAUUGAAAUCGAAACAUCAAAGUGUCCUUUUGAACCUACUUUAUAUCGUACUAUUGUUGGCAACUUAGUACAUCUCACCGUUACACAUUUGAACAUUACUUAUGUUGUUCAUAAUGUUAGUUAAUUUGUUGCUUCUACUACAGUUCAUUGUGUUGUUGUCUUUGUGCUUUGUAGUAUCUUCAAGACAUUAUAUUUCAUAGUCUUUUAUUUUCAUCUACUUUUUUAAGAGUUGCAUGUUCUGAUGUUGAUUGAACUAGUGAUCUCAAAUAUCACAAGUCUACCACUAGAUUUUAUACAUUUUUUUUUAAGGAUUCCCUUAUUUCUUGGAAGAACAAAAACAGAUUAUCAUUUCUCGAUCUUCCAUAGAAGCCGAGUAUCAUAUUAUAGCAUUUACCACCAAUAAUAUAGUUUUGUUAUAUUGGUUACUUGUUUAUAUGAGUGUUUCUCUUUCUUGUCCUACUCCAAUGUAUUGUAACUACAAGAGUAUUAUUCAAAUUGCUCAAACUUGAAAGGUGCACAAUUUUAGCAUAUAAAAAUUUUAAUUUUUAAUAAAUUAAGAUAAAUUAAUAUAAAUGAUUAAAUACAACUUUUUAUGGAAAAUAUAUUUUACUUUAUUUUUAUUUUAUAUAAAUUAAAAAUUAAAAAUUUUAAUAAAGUAAAAUGUUAGAACAACAAUCAAGUUUUUAUCUUAUACAAUUAGAAAUAUUAAAUAAUUUAACCAAAAAGAAACUUAAAACUAUGAUCAAUUUAGAUCCAUGAGCAAAAAACUAAAACUAUUGUCAUCGUCUCUAUUUUGCAUAUAAAAGUUUAAAAUUUUUAAAAAUAUAAAUAAUAAAAUAAUAUAACAAUGUAAUAAAAUUUAUAAAAUAAAUAAAUAUUUUAUUUAGCAAAAUAUAGAAAAUCUUAUGUUGUAAACUUUUAGAUUUGUUUGUUAUGUAUUUAUUUUUAUAUUAAAUUUGUUCUCAUUAAUUAUUUAUUAUAUAUUAUUAUUUUGUCUUAAAAAUAUUCAUAAAUAAUUAAAAUCAAUAAAUAUAGAAAAAUGAAAAAGUGAAAAAAAAAAUCAAAAUUAAAAAGAUUUUAUAAAAUCUACACAUUAAAAAAAAACAAAAAGGUGGAGGUAUUAAUGAAGGAAUAAAAAAAUAAAAAAGGAAAAAUCAUAUCACAUGAUUGAUUAUCACAUGCCAAUGUUUUUUAAAAUAAAAUAAAAAUAAGAGACAACUCUUUGAGUUGUCAUGUGUGAAUGAGAAAAGGAAAACAUUUCGGUAGUUGUUGGCAUUAGUGGAGCUUUAGAUGGUAAUUUUGAGUGCAUAUUUAUAGGAUUAUUUCUUUCCAAACAUAUGUACAUUAAAAGUCAAAAUUUAAACUUCAAGAAAAAAAAAAUUAGGUGGUGCAUGAUUAUCUAAUCCCACCGCAUAAUUUCACAGCUAGUUUCCUUUUUUUUUUUUUUCUCUUUCCUUUUCUGUUUUUUCAUGUUUAUAUACUAUUACAUUAGGAGAAGCUUUGAUGCUAAUAUCAUUAAUCAACAACAUAAAGAUAAAAAAAUCAACACAAACGGUACAUGAGGUUUUAAUGUGGUUCGAUAAUCAUGUAUUCGUCCACGGAUGAGAGAUAAUCAUUCCAAUAUACAAUAUAGAAUAUUACAAAUGAUAGAACUAGAACAUUAUAAAGGAUAAAACCAGAACAUUACAAAUAAUAGAAUCAAAUACAAUUAUUGGGUUUUUGAAACAUCUCAUGUUUCCUUACUCUUUAUAUCCCUACCCUAUCAUGACCCCUCUCGUUUCACCGGGUACCUCUCGUUCUUCCUCGCAUCUCUAUCAACCUUAUAUAGUCUUUAUAGGCUCAUCUCUAUCUCAUAACUUAAAAUAUUUAUAGAGAUAUUUCUUUUUUAAGAAAAUGAUGAUUUUGUGAGAAUUUGUGUUAGGAGUUUAUCAAAAAAAUAAUCUUAUUUUUUUUAAAAAAAAAAGAAUAUUUCACAUCUAAAUUGUUUUUCAAAAUAUUUAUUAAAAUAAUCUUUUAACUUUAUUUCAUUAUUAUUUUUAUAAUAAAACCAUAAUCGGUAAUAUCGAGGAAAUUAAAGGGGAAGUAUUCAUGAGACGGAUGAGUAGGAUGUCGGAUACAAACGGAAGAAAAAGAGAGAAAGAAAGGUGGGAUUGAAAUCGAUGUUAGGAUGAUUUUAUAUGGUCUACUUUUGGGCUUUCCAACUUUAUGAUUGAAUAUUGAAAUCGGAACAUCAAUGUACCAUUGUUUCCUAUUUUUAUUGCAAUGAUGGCCGCCCCUCUGCCCUCAGGCAUGUUUGUUCCAAUAAAACCUCUGUGUUCGUUGGUGUCAGUUAGGUAUAUAAUUACUAAAGCUUUGGCCCACCUGGCAAAUUCAGUUUGGUAUACAUUUGCAAAAAAAGUUUGAUUUUAUUUGCAAAAUUAAAGUUUUUAGGAUUCAAUUUUAUUAAGAAAAAUGAUUUUUAUAUUUUUAUUAAGUAUUGAAAUCAAUUUUUAUUAAAAGAAAUAGUUCUAGUUUAAUUUAUAUUUUCAAAAGAAUGAUUCCAACUAUUUUAGUUUCAUCAUUGAGGAAAAUGAAUUCAGUUUUAUUAUUAAGAAAAAUAGUUUUAGUUUUAUGUUUUAAGAAAAAUAAUUUUUAUUAUUAUUAUUAUUAUAAAAAAAUUCAUCUCAAUACUCCUUGAAAAAUGUUUGAGGUUACAUUAGAAAAAGAGUUCAAUUAAAAAAAAAACAAAAAAAAAUUGAUUUCAAAUUUUAUUUUAUUUACAAGUUUGAAAAAAUAUAUACAAAAGAUCACUAAUAAAAUCAAACUGCUGUGUAACACAAAUAAACAUACAAUAAUAAUAAUGAAUCAAAGGGCCUACAUAAAUCGAUGUGGCCAAUCCAAAGUAAGAAAACUAGCCAAUAGGGAUGGCAAUGGGGCGGGGCGCCCUCCUCCAAACCCCGCCCCGUUUAUUUAAAGCAAUUCCUAUUCCCGUCCCAUUUAAAAAAUUAAACGGGGCGGGGCGGGCGGAUUUCCGCCCCGUUUAACUUUUUAUUUAAUUUUAAUUUUUUUUUAAAAAUUACUUUUAAAUUUUUUAAUUAUAUUAAAAUAAAUAUAUUUUAUAAAUAAUUAAAUUAUUAUAUUUUUUAUAACUUAUUUUAUUAAAAAUAAUUUAUUAUUAUCUAUAUAUUAAAAAUUAAAUUAAAUUAAAUUUAAAUUUUAAAUUAAAUUUAAUUUUAAUUUUAUUUUUAUAUAUAAUCGGGGCGGGGCGGGAUGAGGCAAUACCCGAACCCGCCCCUGGUUAAAAAAAAAAUCCUAAACCCGUCCUAUACCCGUUUAAGAAAAUAAUAUCCCGCCCCAUUAGGGGCAGGGCGGGGCGGGUACCCGAAAUGACCCGCCCUAUUGCCAUCCCUACUAGCCAAGAUGAAGUUUCAUCGGUUUAAGGUUAUUGAUAUCUUAAUUUAUUACAUUAGAGCUAUGUUAUGAUCGAUGCUUUACUUUAUGACUUUUCAAACAUUAUUGUAUUACAGCUAUGUUAUGAUCGAUGCUUUACUUUAUGACUUUUCAAACGUUAUUGUAUAACCAUAAUAAACUUAUAGAGCAAUAACUUUUAAGGGUGACUAAGCAUAUUCUUUAAAAUUGUUUUUCUUUUUUAUUUUUUUAUUUUAUUUAGAAGUUAAAUACAAAUUUUAAAAUGAAGCAAAAUAUUACAAAUCUGGCCUUAAUUUGAUACCACAAAUUUAUGAGGAAAUCCCAUUUGGUAUGUAGCUUAUCUCCUAUUAGAACCAAAAAGUGGAGACAUGCAUGCACCAUUUCCGUUUGGCGUCAGUUUGGCCUCAAAGCUUAUUUUUCAUCAACACUGUUUUAUUGAAAAUCAAUUCCCUCUCGUGGUCUACCCAAUAUUUUAUUUCAUAAUGCUUUGUUGCUGCUGUCGAGAAAAUUUCUACCCAGACGGAACUAAAGGCAUAUAGACCCGAACCCAUGUCGCCACACCAACGCUAUUUAUAUGAAGCUAGCUCAGCCAAGCAUUGCAUAUCAAUCUCAUUAAAGCUCAGUCAUUGUAAUGUUUAUUUAUUUAUUUGUUUGUCUGUUUUCUUGUUGUAUAUUUCAUGGAAGCAGCUUCAUCGGGUUCAUAUGUUCCAUCUUUGCAGGGAAAUCCGUAAUGACAAAACCACCGCAGAAGAGGCAGAAGAAACGGCCAUGGACCCCAGAAGAAGACAAUAAGCUCAAACACUUUAAGACAGAAUACCCUAAUCUACCUUGGGGAGAGAUCAUAGAGCUGGCGAAGCUAGAAAGGGAUGUAAAGAGCUGUUCGGAAAGGUGGAAUAACCAUCUGAAGUCUGAUUUCAACAAAGAGAAAUUCUCCCCACAGGAAGAUGAACGCAUCAUCUAUCUAAGGCGCCAUGAUGUGGGGUAAUGAGAAUCAUCCUCAUAUUUUUCCAUGUAAUAUGAUAGUGUGGUGAUCAGCUUGAGUCUAAGGUAGGAGUUCCUGUGUUGUGUUGCUUGCAGCUGGGCAUCUAUGGUAACAUUUUUUCCUGGGCGAUCUUAUAAUGAUGUGAAGAACCGAGGUUACCAGUUGAAGAAGAGGCAUGCGCCUAUAAGUGACUCUGUCCAGGAUGACCUUGAGGCUUUGAUGGCCGAGUUAGCUUCUUUGAUUCCCAACGUUGAUCCAAAUGCAAUUAGUUCGGAUGAUCAGACUAGUGAUCACUCUAUCCGGGGAGAUGACCUUGAGGCUU